AAUUCUGUCGCUUCUAUUUGUCUCAGAAACCCCCUGCCUCUCUGCUCAUGUUUCUCUCUCUGCCCCCGCCGCCCCAAGAAAAGCAUCUCGGGUGAGGAGGCGGCGAGGGUUUGGGCCUCCUGCUCCGACCUCGGCGGCGCCGACGAGCUCGCGCCCAAGAUUCCUCAUCGGCGCAGGUGGUAAAUUUUGUGCUCAGCCAAGCAAGAAGGCACAAGGUUAUACCAAUACAGUCAUUGUGCAGAAAAAAGGAAGACCAUGUAGUGUGGGGAAUCAUUCAUAUCUGCAAUGGGUACAAAAAGGGUCAUGCAUGGGUGAGCUAGACAAACAACGUGGAUCCCUAUUUCCGUUGAGGUACUAAAUUCCUGAAUCAGGAAAACUCGGUUACCUAAAGAGUUGGUUCAUGUGUUCUGUUCGUGUGCGCGUGAUAACACACUACAAUGUUACAGUAUGUGCUAUAUUUUAAAAGUAAAAUUUUGAACUGUAUGUUCUGUGACAAUGAUGUGAUGCUUCCAAGCAAAGUGGCCAGUUAAUUAGAAUGUAGUGCCCUGUUGUUCC
Long non-coding RNA from Aegilops tauschii subsp. strangulata, 555 nucleotides. RefSeq lists it as uncharacterized. The record is from RefSeq and is a predicted model, not a curated record. NCBI's taxonomy places the organism in Eukaryota, Viridiplantae, Streptophyta, Magnoliopsida, Poales, Poaceae.